This 1067-nucleotide unclassified non-coding RNA is filed under the name Onthophagus taurus. RNAcentral describes it as "uncharacterized LOC111428927, transcript variant X1". The record is from RNAcentral. Lineage: Eukaryota; Metazoa; Arthropoda; Insecta; Coleoptera; Scarabaeidae.
GACAACUAAAAUGCUGUCAAAAGAAAUGUCAAAUUUAUAAAAUGUCAGAAAUCACCAAAUUUACUAAAAAUCGCGAUUGAAUUGGUUUUGCUGUUUAAUAUUAUUAAUAAAUUAACUUUUCCACUUUUCAAAUUUGGUUAAAAAUCGGUCAUUUUUAGAUUUAGCAUUGGAUUAGUGUGUUUGUAAAAAAUGAUUUCUUUUUUAUCAACAUUUCAUGUCAUCAUGACAAUUCGAAUUUAAAUUAAAUCCUCUUCUUCGCUUUCAUCUCGCUUCUUUCUUUUCGCCCACCGGAAAAAUGUUUAGUGCUACAACACAUUUGAAUCGAGGUGGUUAUGGUAGCAUAAGGAAAACAUUUCGAUUUUAUAGUAAAGAUAACAAAAGGAAACGAAGUAAAGCAUAUCCACCUCCUUUACCACAAUAUGAACCACCAAAACGAUUAAGAAGAAUGUCUCGAAUUUGCCCCCCUUUACCACAAGCACAUCCGCCACCUAAAGCACCCAGCACGGGGCUUGGAGCAACAUUAGUGGGGUUGGCGUUAAUAAGUUGGGGUGUAAUAGCUUUUGCAAAAUACAAUUCUAAUUUCCGCGAGACACUCAACGAAAAGAUUCCGUUCACCGAUGACCUCGUAAAGUUACUUUAUGAGGAAGAAAAAUCUUUCGUCGAUAAUAUUCGUGAUUUUUUUGAUAAGUUUUGGUGAAAUAUAAUUGAUUUAUGUCAUUUUAAUCGUUAUGUCAUCGUGAAUUCGGGUUCGGUUCGUGUUUUAUGUUAACAUUGUGUUGUUUUAGCUCGCGGAAUCAUGUUUAGGAUUGUUAGUUCAUCCGCAACGCAUUUUAACCAAGGAUAGCGGAAAUGGAAUGAUCUAUAAAAAUGUGCAAUGUUAUAGUAAAGAAUGUCAAAGAAGGAGGGGUAAACCAACGAUUUGUCAAUCUUUUUCGCGGUCUGAAUCACCAAAUCAAGUUAAAAAGAUAACAUGUCGAGGUAGAGGUUCGUCCCGGCUUUGUCCACCUUUACCAGAAGCUUCUCCACCUCCGAAAGCACCAAGUACAGGGCUUGGAAUGACGAUUAUA